AUUGAACGCUGGCGGCAGGCCUAACACAUGCAAGUCGAACGAGUGGCGGACGGGUGAGUAAUGUCUGGGCAACUGCCUGAUGGAGGGGGAUCACUACUGGACACGGUAGCUAAUACCGCAUACCAUCAGAUGUGCCCAGAUGGGAUUAGCUUGGUGGUGGGGUAACGGCGCACCAAGGCGACGAUCCCUAGCUGGUCUGAGAGGAUGACCGGCCACACGGGAACUGAGACACGGUCCAGCCUCCUGCGGGAGGCAGCAGUGGGGAAUAUUGCACAAGGGGCGCAAGCGUGAUGCAGCCAUGCCGCGUGUAGGAAGAAGGCCUGCGGGUUGUAAAGUACUUUCAGCGGGGAGGCGUUACCCGCAGAAGAAGCACCGGCUAACUCCGUGCCAGCAGCCGCGAAUUC
This 404-nucleotide ribosomal RNA is filed under the name uncultured bacterium. RNAcentral's name for it is "partial 16S ribosomal RNA". It matches the Rfam family "Bacterial small subunit ribosomal RNA", at positions 29 to 526 of the family's 1533-position model. The record is from RNAcentral.